UACGGAGGGGGCGAGCGUUAUUCGGAAUUAUUGGGCGUAAAGGGCGCGUAGGCGGCCUUGUAAGUCAAAGGUGAAAUCCCUCGGCUCAACCGAGGAAUUGCCUUUGAAACUGCAUGGCUUGAGUCCGGGAGAGGGUAGCGGAAUUCCCAGUGUAGCGGUGAAAUGCGUAGAUACUGGGAGGAACACCGGUGGCGAAGGCGGCUACCUGGACCGGUACUGACGCUGAUGCGCGAAAGCGUGGGGAGCAAACAGG
RNAcentral lists this ribosomal RNA (253 nucleotides) under uncultured Acidobacteriota bacterium. Its description in RNAcentral is "uncultured Acidobacteria bacterium partial 16S ribosomal RNA". It matches the Rfam family "Bacterial small subunit ribosomal RNA", at positions 524 to 776 of the family's 1533-position model. Lineage: Bacteria; Pseudomonadati; Acidobacteriota. The record is from RNAcentral.